GCUUCUGUCAGCUACUCACGCCAGAUCGUCGUGGUUUCACCCUGCACGUAUCCAGCCUCUGUUACCUGUCUGUUUCCCGUAUUACCUGUCUGCCUGCCUGCCUGUUGACGACCCUGCGUUCCGGAACCUGGAUAUUCGCCUCUGCUCGUUCCCUCACUGGUAACUCUGCCUCCGCUAAUAUUUGGACCCCCUGUAUGUUUGACCCCUGGACUGCUCUCUGGAAUCUCCCUUUAGAUCACGGACUUGGUUUUUGCUGCUCAUCGGAAGACACGGAUGCACCUGCCGCUGUCUUCCACCACCCGGACUCUCUGAUCACCGUCAGUUUCUAUAUUACCUUGCUAUUCGUCAGUCUGUUAAAUAAACCUCCAUUACCUAUCCCUGGGUUUUCUGAUAAUUUAUGAGUCCUCCUUGCUGGUACGUGACAGUACGAUCUGGCCAAACCAUGGACUCGUCAGAUCUCAGGGAUAGGUGCGCCAUUACACAAUCCGUUCUGAACUACCG
This is a long non-coding RNA of Melanotaenia boesemani (Boeseman's rainbowfish), 501 nucleotides long. RefSeq lists it as uncharacterized. Lineage: Eukaryota; Metazoa; Chordata; Actinopteri; Atheriniformes; Melanotaeniidae. The record is from RefSeq and is a predicted model, not a curated record. The transcript has 3 exons.